GGAACUGUGGCUGAGUGGUAAAGCACUUGGCUUCCAAACAAUGGGUCCUAGGUUCGAAUCCUGCAAUUUUU
Molecule: transfer RNA, 71 nt
Filed under: Biomphalaria glabrata
Lineage: Eukaryota; Metazoa; Mollusca; Gastropoda; Planorbidae
Rfam family: tRNA
About the family: Transfer RNA (tRNA) molecules are approximately 80 nucleotides in length. Their secondary structure includes four short double-helical elements and three loops (D, anti-codon, and T loops). Further hydrogen bonds mediate the characteristic L-shaped molecular structure. tRNAs have two regions of fundamental functional importance: the anti-codon, which is responsible for specific mRNA codon recognition, and the 3' end, to which the tRNAs corresponding amino acid is attached (by aminoacyl-tRNA synthetases). tRNAs cope with the degeneracy of the genetic code in two manners: having more than one tRNA (with a specific anti-codon) for a particular amino acid; and 'wobble' base-pairing, i.e. permitting non-standard base-pairing at the 3rd anti-codon position.
Source: Rfam by way of RNAcentral